RNAcentral lists this ribosomal RNA (501 nucleotides) under uncultured bacterium. RNAcentral's name for it is "partial 16S ribosomal RNA". It matches the Rfam family "Bacterial small subunit ribosomal RNA", at positions 30 to 523 of the family's 1533-position model. The record is from RNAcentral.
AUUGAACGCUGGCGGCAGGCUUAACACAUGCAAGUCGAGCGGGGGAAGGUAGCUUGCUACCGGACCUAGCGGCGGACGGGUGAGUAAUGCUUAGGAAUCUGCCUACUAGUGGGGGACAACAGCUCGAAAGGGAUGCUAAUACCGCCUACGUCCUACGGGCGAAAGCAGGGGAUCUUCGGACCUUGCGAUAAUAGAUGAGCCAAAGUCGGAUUAGCUAGUUGGUGGGGUAAAGGCCUACCAAGGCGACGAUCUGUAGCGGGUCUGAGAGGAUGAUCCGGCACACUGGGACUGAGACACGGCCCAGACUCCUACGGGAGGCAGCAGUGGGGAAUAUUGGACAAUGGGGGGAACCCUGAUCCAGCCAUGCCGCGUGUGUGAAGAAGGCCUUAUGGUUGUAAAGCACUUUAAGCGAGGAGGAGGCUACUCUAGUUAAUACCUAGAGAUAGUGGACGUUACUCGCAGAAUAAGCACCGGCUAACUCUGUGCCAGCCGCCGCCGUAA